GGGGGGAUGUCUAGGGUCCAAAACACGAGAGUGGUCAGCACAGACCCCGACUCUCCCUGCCUGAGGGCCAACAUGCUGGCUGGGCCACUCUUCUCACCCAGGGCCUCCUCCUACAGCCAUCUCAAUCGAUGACCUGGGCACAGUGGCUCGGCCUUUCUGGGACGGUUUCUCACACCACAGUGAGCAAAGGAGAUUGUGUGGGGGAAGAAGGUUCCACUGAGCCACAUCUGCUCUUCCCUGGGCCUGAUCUAGUCUGCUGAGGGCAAUGGUUCACUCCAGUGACUCCUGCACUUUUCUGGGUGAUGGGGCUCUGAAAGCAGAGGUCCAGGUCCCACGCUGGUGAUACCAACCUUUGGGAGGUGUUUGAGCUGGGAGGUUGAAUAACAUUAUCCAUAGGCCCAGCUUAGCUUUGGUGGGGAGGUCAGUAACACUUACCCACCAGAACAUUCUUCAUGACGAUUCCAUCCUGAUCUUUGGAAUUUAGAAUCCCAGAAUGUCAGACCAAGUCUACCCUCUUAUUGGACUUAUCAAAGGUCAGCAUGGGGUGGGGGGGGUGGGGGGGAGGGGCUUGCUCGAGGCCACAUUAUCAGAACCUCAUCCACCAUCCCUGGCAUGUGGUUGCCCUGGGGCUUAGAGGUCUGUCCUUCCCUCAUCCUGAGUCCAGGGAAAGUCCCCUCUGUGGUUAGGACAACUACCUUCUCCACCACCAGCUGGGGAGCGGAAGGGAACAUCUGUGGUGGACACACUAGGAUUUGUAGCAAAUGAGCCACACACCCCAGAGGACAGAAAGAACCACUUUGGUAAAAGGCCUCUUGGCCUACUCCUCAGUCUCACUGCCCAAGGACUCCUAUCAGCAUUCCUCCCCAGCCUCCUGAGCCCCAUAACUGGGAGCAAGGGGCUGACCACGGGAGAACCUGGGUUUCUCCUCCACCUUUCUGAACCCUGCACACCUUCACGAAGCAGCUGAAGGAUGUUAGCUGAGAUCUAGAACCUUCUCCUGCCCUGGUCGCUGCUAAGACCUCAUCCUCUGGAUGCUAAACCCUUGGCUCCAAAAAUCCCAUGACUGCAAGGGAUUUGGAGGCAGAAUCUUCUCUGAUGAUUCAUUGCCAAAAUGCCAUCCCUCACAAAGGAACUGUGGUGGGCACGUUUUAUUUCUUGUUCUAACUAGAUGGACUUCUAUUCCCAGAUGGCUUUAGAAAGUUCUUCCUUAUAUGGAUUCAAACUUGCCUCCCUCCAACUUCUGGUCUACUCUGUUCCUCCUCCUGUGGCUACGCAAAAACAAGAAUUCUCCUUCUGCCUCCAAGCAGCGUUUAGUCAAGGUGGGCAGCGGCCGUGUCUUCCCUCUUUUGUCCCCACAAAUUUCUAUAUUGGGCUCGUCAUUCCUAGUUCUUUCCAAGACUUUUCAACUGGCCCAGCGUCUUGGAGGUACCCUGGCAUCAUGGAAAAAAACAAACACGCAGCUUGGAAUUCAAUGCCAGGGGAUCCUGAUCAGCCUCAAAAUGACCUUGGUUAUUGGUUAAGAACACUGGUCCUCUCCAGACCUUGCUUCCCCUUCCAUUAGUUGUGAGGGUCAGACCAGGUAAGCUUUGAGGUUGUAGGCUGGGUUCUUAAAAUGCCCUUAAAAUGUCACAGGCACACGCUGGUCUUGGCAUGUGUCCUCACCUGUGGUAUAACCCGUCUUCGCUUGGACUAUGGUAUUGGGGCGGUAGAAACAGGCAGAGGAAGAGCAGAUUCAUAAUGACCCUUUAUUGUAUUAAAAUCGACCUAAAACCUCA
This is a long non-coding RNA of Neofelis nebulosa (Clouded leopard), 1775 nucleotides long. RefSeq lists it as uncharacterized. The record is from RefSeq and is a predicted model, not a curated record. Lineage: Eukaryota; Metazoa; Chordata; Mammalia; Carnivora; Felidae. The transcript is spliced from 2 exons.